Molecule: ribosomal RNA, 322 nt
Filed under: uncultured eukaryote
Lineage: Eukaryota
Description: partial 18S ribosomal RNA
Rfam family: Eukaryotic small subunit ribosomal RNA
Source: RNAcentral
CCCUUAGAUGUCCUGGGCCGCACGCGCGCUACACUGAUGCAUUCAACGAGUGUACCUUGGCCGAGAGGCCUGGGCAAUCUUUUGAACGUGCAUCGUGAUAGGGAUAGAUUAUUGCAAUUAUUAAUCUUGAACGAGGAAUUCCUAGUAAACGCAGUUCAUCAAACUGCAUUGAUUACGUCCCUGCCCUUUGUACACACCGCCCGUCGCACCUACCGAUUGGAUGGUCCGGUGAAGCCUCGGGAUUGUGGCGGUUGCCUUUAUUGGUGGCCGCCGCGAGAACUUGUCUAAACCUUAUCAUCUAGAGGAAGGUGAAGUCGUAACA